This 433-nucleotide ribosomal RNA is filed under the name uncultured bacterium. RNAcentral describes it as "partial 16S ribosomal RNA". It matches the Rfam family "Bacterial small subunit ribosomal RNA", at positions 29 to 507 of the family's 1533-position model. The record is from RNAcentral.
AACGAACGCUGGCGGCAUGCCUAACACAUGCAAGUCGAACGAGACCUUCGGGUCUAGUUGCGCACGGGUGCGUACCGCGUGGGAACCUGCCCUUAGGUUCGGAAUAACUCCCCGAAAGGUGUGCUAAUACCGGAUAAUGUCUUCGGACCAAAGAUUUAUCGCCUUUGGAUGGGCCCGCGUUGGAUUAGCUAGUUGGUGGGGUAAAAGCCUACCAACGCGACGAUCCAUAGCUGGUCUGAGAGGAUGAUCAGCCACACUGGGACUGAGACACGGCCCAGACUCCUACGGGAGGAAGCAGUGGGGAAUAUUGGACAAUGGGCGAAAGACUGAUCCAGCAAUGCCGCGUGAGUGAUGAAGGCCUUAGGGUUGUAAAGCUCUUUUACCCGGGAUGAUAAUGACAGUACCGGGAGAAUAAGCUCCGGCUAACUCCGUG